UCUCUCUCUCUCUCUCUCUCUCUCUCACUUUGGUUUUUCUCUUUGAUUAAACGAUUAUUUAGCCAACAAGGGUUUCAGUGAGAGAUUUGGGGCCCUUCCUAUUUCAAAUGCCCACAUCUGUUCUUUGGGAUGAAAGUUUAUGAAGUUGAACUCAUUUUUGUUUUUCUGGUUUGGUUCAGAUCAAAUGCUUUCCAGAAAAAGAAGAAGAAGUUUCACAUGUAGAGGAGAAUGUCAGAUUUCAUGGCUCUGAUGGAUUUUUUAUUCAUUUCCACUUCCAGGUAUAUUGUUAUUUCUUCAGAUUGGUUGUGUUUUAUUAGUUCUGGUAGCAUGCAAGGGAGGCCAAAGAGGAAAUCGUUUUGUUGAACUCAACUUAUUGAGGACAAGCUGAUGUUCUAGUCUACUUGGAACUUAACCUGUAGUUUUUGUAUGCCUUUUGUUUUUUUUCCUUAUAUAUAUAUAUAUAUAUAUAUGUGCAUUUAAAUUAU
Molecule: long non-coding RNA, 485 nt
Organism: Prunus dulcis (almond)
Lineage: Eukaryota; Viridiplantae; Streptophyta; Magnoliopsida; Rosales; Rosaceae
Exons: 3
Source: RefSeq, a predicted model, not a curated record